AUGGCCUGCGCCGACGUUGCCGCCCUGCGCUCCGCGAGCGAGGCCGAGAUGGACGCCCUGUUCGCCGUGCAGGGCGAGCUGCGCGUGCGGGGCGUGGCGGCGGACGGCGUGGUGCGCCGGGCAGGGGAGGAGGUGGACGCGUUGGAGCGGCGGCUGCAGGACGUGACGGUGGCCGCGUACGCCCUGGAGGCCUGGGUCGCGGCGAACCGGGCGACGGUGGCCGCGCACGGCGACGCGCAGGCGGGGGCGGCAGUUCAGCCCGCGGACGCGCUCUCGGUGCAGAGGCUCGAGUGCGCGGCCAUGGAUCUGGCGCUGGAGGACAGCAUGUACGCGCUGGACGAGGCGGUGCAGGGAGGGGCCGUGCCGUUCAGCGGCUACCUCCGGAGCGUGCGCGCGCUGGCGCGGGAGCAGUUCUUCCAGCGUGCCCUCUGGACCAAACUUUGCUAG
This 447-nucleotide ribosomal RNA is filed under the name Triticum aestivum (bread wheat). Its description in RNAcentral is "partial small subunit ribosomal RNA". The record is from RNAcentral. Lineage: Eukaryota; Viridiplantae; Streptophyta; Magnoliopsida; Poales; Poaceae.